Molecule: ribosomal RNA, 117 nt
Filed under: uncultured bacterium
Lineage: Bacteria
Description: partial 16S ribosomal RNA
Rfam family: Bacterial small subunit ribosomal RNA
Source: RNAcentral
GGAGAAAAGCAGGGGAUCGACAAAACCUUGCGCUAAAGGAGCGGCCGAUGUCUGAUUAGUUAGUUGGUGGGGUAAAGGCCUACCAAGGCAACGAUCAGUAGUUGGUCUGAGAGGACG